AUUAAAUAAUUUAGAUGGCCUUUGCUAGUUUUCUAGCGAAUGGUUCAUUCUUUUUUACUGUGAACUGUUUUAAUUUUUCAGCGUCUGAGGAAUGUCUUUUAGCCAUAGGGAUAGGCUACUAGAAUGUUAACCGAGCUGAAAGUCAGGCUUAGGCCUGGUAUCCUAUUAAUUAUUUACCAAAAGAAUUCAGUAUUAUAAUUGUAACAUAAGCGUAAAAAACUUAUAAAACAACUUUUAACAACGGAUCUCUUGGUUCUCGCAUCGAUGAAGAACGUAGCAAAGUGCGAUAACUAGUGUGAAUUGCAUAUUCAGUGAAUCAUCGAGUCUUUGAACGCAACUUGCGCUCAAUGGUAUUCCAUUGAGCACGCCUGUUUCAGUAUCAAAAACACCCCACAUUCAUAAUUUUGUUGUGAAUGGAAUUGAGAGUUUCGGCUUUAUUGCUGAAUUCUUUAAAAUUAUUAGGCCUGAACUAUUGUUCUUUCUGCCUGAACAUUUUUUUAAUAUAAAGGAAUGCUCUAGUAAAAAGACUAUCUCUGGGGCCUCCCAAAUAAAUCAUUCUUAAAUUUGAUCUGAAAUCAGGCGGGAUUACCCGCUGAACUUAAGCAUAUCAAUAA
This 614-nucleotide ribosomal RNA is filed under the name Mucor hiemalis. RNAcentral describes it as "eukaryotic LSU rRNA". The stretch from base 230 to 382 matches the Rfam family "5.8S ribosomal RNA". The record is from RNAcentral. Lineage: Eukaryota; Fungi; Mucoromycota; Mucoromycetes; Mucorales; Mucoraceae.